GAAGUGGUGGUCAAAAACAGCAACGCGCGAACAUGGCAGCUGUAGGCGAAAACCAGGUUUCUCCCGUAUUUUCCAAUUAUUUUCGCUCUUUAAGUCUUAAUAUUCGAUGGCAUUACUUGCAAAAGAUGUGUUAUUGUAACGGAGUUGACCCCUGCAUUCUAAAAAAGUAGAUUUUUCAACAGAUUUUCAACUUUUAUCCUUCACUCGUCUUUGGCUUGCAGUCCUCUUUUUAUUCUUCAAACGAGAUGAAAGCUUACAAAAACAUGCAGUCCUACAACGUUUCGUUUGUGGAUGAUUGAAAGACCUCGGUAUUAAACGGAUGAAAAAUGAUUGUCUUCUGAACAGCAGGGGGAAAAUGGCAGAUUCACACUUAAAUAAAUUGCAAGGACCAGCAUUAUUACUCAAGAAAAAAGCUUUAUUAAGGCUAUUUAGUAUCCUGAAGCCCAUCGCUUCUGUACAUUGGGUACAAGGUUAUUUUAAAUUCCUAGAUUUAAUUGUAUUACAUAAGUAUCUUACUCAAUGAGCUUAUUUUGUCGAUACAUUUGCUAUGUCGAUUUAAAAUUUCUUAUAACAUGUACACUUGAGUAUUUUUAUCAAUCAUAGUCAUCUCUGCCUUUCAAUUGAGGCACUGUAAUUACUGUAAGUAAAGUCCAUUUUCUCAGAAUACAUGCAAAUUUCACCUUCUGUCAUCAAAAUAAACCAAGAUGUGAUUAUUACAAUAUUCAUAAUCAAUCACACAUAUUUGUUAUAGUCAUGAAUAUUGGGGUAUUCUUUUGUCUUUAUUUACAGGGUGAAAUUAUAUUGCUUCCAAAAUUAUUGAAGGGGGAGGGGGUUACAUGUCCCACCGCCCCCUGCUAUGGUGCUGUACAAUUCCUCUUUCUGGUAAAUUUGACAGUAUUGCAGAAUUCUAGUGAAAGGGUUACCUUCUAUAUUUUUACAUUGUUGUCUUUUUGAUGUGGAAAUGGUUGUAAGCAUGAUAUACAGUACCUAGGAUUAGCUGAGGGGGGAUGUGCAGUCAUAGGUAUAGGUAUAUUGAGAAAGGAUAGUUAACAAUAAGAAAUCACCAAUUUUUUUUGGCCAAAGGGGGUGAGCAUGCAUUCUGUGCACCCUUCUGUGUACUCGCCUGAUACACAUGCAUGAGAAAGCUCAUGAGUGAAGCAUAUGAGAAUUUCUCAGUUUGCAGCACUGGUCAACACCUCACUGCCAAGUGGCACAUCUUGGAGCCUCUUCUGAUGGAAUUAUUAUGAUGAUGGUGACAUAAAACUCAGUAGGGAUCAUGUCUAUUUCUACCAAAAUCCAAGCUCAGCUACUUAUUGUAGAGAUGAGUUUUGCAAUGUUGUUGGAACAAAACAAUAUUUUCAUAAUGUUAUAAUGCAAUAUUCUGUAAGAAAAGUAUUGUUCCUUAGACUAAUAUUUUUUAUUAGAGACUGCAUAUUACAGUAUAUUUUUAACACCAAAUAUCAAUGCACUUAAAUUAACAUCAAAUGUGAUUAGUGUUAUUCCAGAACACCUAUUCAAUUUGUCCAUUAUCAACAAAGCAUUAAAGCAUUCAAGAGCUGUAUUCUAGCCAUGAUGUACAUAGAGAUUAGAAAUUAGAUAAAGUAAAUAAGCAUAAAAAAAACAUAUGAAUUA
This is a long non-coding RNA of Nematostella vectensis (starlet sea anemone), 1632 nucleotides long. RefSeq lists it as uncharacterized. The transcript has 2 exons. NCBI's taxonomy places the organism in Eukaryota, Metazoa, Cnidaria, Anthozoa, Actiniaria, Edwardsiidae. The record is from RefSeq and is a predicted model, not a curated record.